Molecule: non-coding RNA, 160 nt
Filed under: human gut metagenome
Description: Lysine riboswitch
Rfam family: Lysine riboswitch aptamer
About the family: Riboswitches are metabolite binding domains within certain messenger RNAs that serve as precision sensors for their corresponding targets.
Source: RNAcentral
GGCUGAGGUCGCGGAAAUCAUCAGUACCUCCGGGGUCUGGCAAUUGCCCCGGCAGGGAAAGGGCUUUUCGCCGAAGGAUCUGCCUGAUGCCACGCAGGCAAAUUCUGGGGCUGCGCAGAAGAUGCGCAGAACUGUCAUCGGAAUCGAUGUUGUGCUGCCG